GAUGAACGCUGACAGAAUGCUUAACACAUGCAAGUCUUUGGCGAAGCUGUGCUUGCACAGCCUAGCCAAGGCGGACGGGUGAGUAACGCGUAAGGAACUUGCCCUGCAGUCAGGGAUAACAGACGGAAACGACUGAUAAGACCUGGUAAAGUCAGGCGGACUCAUGUCCAGCCUGAUGAAAAGAGAUGCUGCAGGAGAGCCUUGCGUCCUAUUAGCUUGUUGGUGGGGUAACGGCCCACCAAGGCGAUGAUAGGUAGCCGGCCUGAGAGGGUGGACGGCCACAAGGGGACGGAGAUACGGCCAUUACUCCUACGGGAGGCAGCAGGGGGGAAUAUUGGACGAUGGGGGCAACCCUGAUCCAGCAAUUCUGUGUGCACGAUGAAGGUUUUCGGAUUGUAAAGUGCUUUCAGCAGGGAAGAAAAAAUGACGGUACCUGCAGAAGAAGCGACGGCUAAAUACGUG
This 462-nucleotide ribosomal RNA is filed under the name uncultured bacterium. RNAcentral's name for it is "partial 16S ribosomal RNA". It matches the Rfam family "Bacterial small subunit ribosomal RNA", at positions 28 to 507 of the family's 1533-position model. The record is from RNAcentral.